RNAcentral lists this ribosomal RNA (427 nucleotides) under uncultured fungus. Its description in RNAcentral is "eukaryotic LSU rRNA". It matches the Rfam family "Eukaryotic large subunit ribosomal RNA", at positions 1 to 419 of the family's 3401-position model. Lineage: Eukaryota; Fungi. The record is from RNAcentral.
UUGAUCUCAAAUCAGGUAGGACUACCCGCUGAACUUAAGCAUAUCAAUAAGCGGAGGAAAAGAAACUAACAAGGAUUCCCCUAGUAACUGCGAGUGAAGCGGGAAGAGCUCAAAUUUAAAAUCUGGCGUGCCUCUGGCCGUCCGAGUUGUAGUCUGGAGAAGCGUUUUCCGUGUUGGACCGUGUAUAAGUCUCUUGGAACAGGGCGUCAUAGAGGGUGAGAAUCCCGUCUUUGACACGGACUACCAAUGCUUUGUGAUGCGCUCUCAAAGAGUCGAGUUGUUUGGGAAUGCAGCUCAAAAUGGGUGGUAAAUUCCAUCUAAAGCUAAAUAUAGGCGAGAGACCGAUAGCGAACAAGUACCGUGAGGGAAAGAUGAAAAGCACUUUGGAAAGAGAGUUAAACAGUACGUGAAAUUGCUGAAAGGGAAC